Non-coding RNA from Hypoxylon sp. EC38, 93 nucleotides. The record is from the annotation of a GenBank genome assembly. Lineage: Eukaryota; Fungi; Ascomycota; Sordariomycetes; Xylariales; Hypoxylaceae.
GGUCUGAUGGUCUAGUGGUAGGAUUCUCGCUUUGGGUUGAAUUUUCUCUGCCUUAAAUGCGAGAGGUCCCGGGUUCAAUCCCCGGUCAGACCC